UACGUAGGGUGCAAGCGUUGUCCGGAAUUAUUGGGCGUAAAGAGCUCGUAGGCGGUCUGUCGCGUCGGAUGUGAAAACCCAGGGCUCAACCCUGGGCCUGCAUUCGAUACGGGCAGACUAGAGUACUGCAGGGGAGACUGGAAUUCCUGGUGUAGCGGUGGAAUGCGCAGAUAUCAGGAGGAACACCGGUGGCGAAGGCGGGUCUCUGGGCAGUAACUGACGCUGAGGAGCGAAAGCGUGGGGAGCGAACAGG
Molecule: ribosomal RNA, 253 nt
Filed under: uncultured bacterium
Lineage: Bacteria
Description: partial 16S ribosomal RNA
Rfam family: Bacterial small subunit ribosomal RNA
Source: RNAcentral